Long non-coding RNA from Mytilus californianus (California mussel), 738 nucleotides. RefSeq lists it as uncharacterized. NCBI's taxonomy places the organism in Eukaryota, Metazoa, Mollusca, Bivalvia, Mytilida, Mytilidae. The record is from RefSeq and is a predicted model, not a curated record. The transcript is spliced from 3 exons.
UAUUAUAUAUGUAUGACAAUUUUAAUACUUGUCUGUUUCUGUAAAGGUAUUAUAUAUGUAUGACAAUUUUAAUACUUGUCUGUUUCUGUAAAGGUAUUAUAUAUGUAUGACAAUUUUAAUACUUGUCUGUUUCUGUAAAGGUAUUAUAUAUGUAUGAUAAUUUUAAUACUUGUCUGUUUCUGUAAAGGUAUUAUAUAUGUAUGACAAUUUUAAUACUUGUCUGUUUCUGUAAAGGUAUUAUAUAUGUAUGACAAUUUUAAUACUUGUCUGUUUCUGUAAAGGUAUUAUAUAUGUAUGACAAUUUUAAUACUUGUCUGUUUCUGUAAAGGUAUUAUAUAUGUAUGACAAUUUUAAUACUUGUCUGUUUCUGUAAAGGUAUUAUAUAUGUAUGAUAAUUUUAAUACUUGUCUGUUUCUGUAAAGGUAUUAUAUAUGUAUGACAAUUUUAAUACUUGUCUGUUUCUGUAAAGGUAUUAUAUAUGUAUGACAAUUUUAAUACUUGUCUGUUUCUGUAAAGGUAUUAUAUAUGUAUGACAAUUUUAAUACUUGUCUGUUUCUGUAAAGGUAUUAUAUAUGUAUGAUAAUUUUAAUACUUGUCUGUUUCUGUAAAGGUAUUAUAUAUGUAUGACAAUUUUAAUACUUGUCUGUUUCUGUAAAGGUAUUAUAUAUGUAUGACAAUUUUAAUACUUGUCUGUUUCUGUAAAGGUAUUAUAUAUGUAUGAUAAUUUUAAUACUUGUC